GGCCAUGGCUCAGUGGCAGAGCCUCUGUUCGGCAUGCAGAUGGCUCCAGGUUCGAUCCGGGCAUCUCCU
RNAcentral lists this transfer RNA (69 nucleotides) under Sphaerodactylus townsendi. Its description in RNAcentral is "tRNA-Ala". The record is from RNAcentral. Lineage: Eukaryota; Metazoa; Chordata; Lepidosauria; Squamata; Sphaerodactylidae.